AGCGAACGCUGGCGGCAGGCUUAACACAUGCAAGUCGAGCGGGCAUCCUUGUGGUGUCAGCGGCAGACGGGUGAGUAACGCGUGGGAACGUGCCCUUCGGUUCGGAAUAACUCAGGGAAACUUGAGCUAAUACCGGAUACGUGCGAGAGCAGAAAGGUUUAUCUGCCGAAGGAUCGGCCCGCGUCUGAUUAGCUAGUUGGUGAGGUUACGGCUCACCAAGGCGACGAUCAGUAGCUGGUCUGAGAGGAUGAUCAGCCACACUGGGACUGAGACACGGCCCAGACUCCUACGGGAGGCAGCAGUGGGGAAUGUUGCACAAUGGGGGCAACCCUGAUCCAGCCAUGCCGCGUGAGUGAUGACGGCCUUAGGGUUGUAAAGCUCUUUUCUCCGGGACGAUAAUGACGGUACCGGAGGAAUAAGCCCCGGCUAACUUCGUG
Molecule: ribosomal RNA, 437 nt
Filed under: uncultured bacterium
Lineage: Bacteria
Description: partial 16S ribosomal RNA
Rfam family: Bacterial small subunit ribosomal RNA
Source: RNAcentral